RNAcentral lists this ribosomal RNA (468 nucleotides) under uncultured bacterium. Its description in RNAcentral is "partial 16S ribosomal RNA". It matches the Rfam family "Bacterial small subunit ribosomal RNA", at positions 28 to 507 of the family's 1533-position model. The record is from RNAcentral.
GACGAACGCUGGCGGCGUGCUUAACACAUGCAAGUCGAACGGAAAGGCCCUGCUUUUGUGGGGUGCUCGAGUGGCGAACGGGUGAGUAACACGUGCGUAACCUGCCCUUGACUUUGGGAUAACUUCAGGAAACUGGGGCUAAUACCGGAUAGGAGCUCCUGCUGCAUGGUGGGGGUUGGAAAGUUUCGGCGGUUGGGGAUGGACUCGCGGCUUAUCAGCUUGUUGGUGGGGUAGUGGCUUACCAGGGCUUUGACGGGUAGCCGGCCUGAGAGGGUGACCGGCCACAUUGGGACUGAGAUACGGCCCAGACUCCUACGGGAGGCAGCAGUGGGGAAUAUUGCACAAUGGGCGGAAGCCUGAUGCAGCAACGCCGCGUGCGGGAUGACGGCCUUCGGGUUGUAAACCGCUUUCGCCUGUGACGAAGCGUGAGUGACGGUAAUGGGUAAAGAAGCACCGGCUAACUACGUG